GACGUAGGGUGCAAGCGUUGUCCGGAUUUACUGGGCGGAAAGAGCGCGUAGGCGGUCUGUUAAGUGUGAAGUGAAAUCUCCAGGGCUCAACCCGGAAACUGCUUCGCAUACUGGCAGGCUGGAGGAACGGAGAGGUGAGUGGAAUUCCUGGUGUACCGGUGAAAUGCGUAGAUAUCUGGAGGAACACCGGUGGCGAAGGCGGCGUUCUGGACUGCAUCUGACACUGAGGAACGAAAGCCAGGGGAGCAAACGGG
This 254-nucleotide ribosomal RNA is filed under the name uncultured bacterium. Its description in RNAcentral is "partial 16S ribosomal RNA". It matches the Rfam family "Bacterial small subunit ribosomal RNA", at positions 524 to 776 of the family's 1533-position model. The record is from RNAcentral.